Molecule: ribosomal RNA, 253 nt
Filed under: uncultured bacterium
Lineage: Bacteria
Description: partial 16S ribosomal RNA
Rfam family: Bacterial small subunit ribosomal RNA
Source: RNAcentral
GACGGAAGGUGCAAGCGUUACUCGGAAUUACUGGGCGUAAAGCGUCCGCAGCCGUCCUUAUAAGUCUAGCGUAAAAGCACGAAGCUCAACUCCGUGUACGUGCCGGAAACUGUAAGGAUUGAGUCACCCAGAGGCAUCUGGAAUGCUAUGUGUAGGGGUAAAAUCCGUUGAUCCAUAGUAGAACGCCAAAAGCGAAAGCAGGAUGCUGGGGGUGUACUGACGGUCAGGGACGAAAGCGUGGGGAGCAAACGGG